UACGGGGGGGGUAAGCGUUGUUCGGAAUUACUGGGCGUAAAGGGCACGUAGGCGGCCAACUAAGUCAGACGUGAAAUCCCUCAGCUUAACUGGGGAACUGCGUCUGAUACUGGAUGGUUUGGAUUCGGGAGAGGAAUGCGGAAUUCCAGGUGUAGCGGUGAAAUGCGUAGAUAUCAGGAGGAAUACCGGUGGCGAAGGCGGCAUCCUGGACCGGCAUUGACGCUGAGGAGCGAAAGCCAGGGGAGCAAACGGG
Molecule: ribosomal RNA, 253 nt
Filed under: uncultured bacterium
Lineage: Bacteria
Description: partial 16S ribosomal RNA
Rfam family: Bacterial small subunit ribosomal RNA
Source: RNAcentral